This 1639-nucleotide ribosomal RNA is filed under the name Carnegiea gigantea. RNAcentral describes it as "SSU rRNA". It matches the Rfam family "Eukaryotic small subunit ribosomal RNA". The record is from RNAcentral. Lineage: Eukaryota; Viridiplantae; Streptophyta; Magnoliopsida; Caryophyllales; Cactaceae.
CCCAUUAUAAAUAGGCGCCAAUCCUUGUGUUUUGGGCAAGGGCGUAGGCCAUGUAUUCUUGAGUGAAACACACGUUUGUAGUGAGGGAAAAAUCUGUGUAAUUGCCUUAGUGAAAACCGAGUGCUCACCUUGUAAAUUCUUUUGUCUCGAGAACUUUGUCGGAUCUUUAUCUACUUUUUGUUAAUUUAAUUAAAUCGUAUUUAACCCCUUAAGCGGGCUAUGAGUAGGCUGGGCUGAUACGUGGUCUUCACCGCUGCACGGUGUGAAUCUGGGCAAAAAAGUUGGCCGAAUUUUACCCCGUGACACCUACCAUGGUGGUGACGGGUGACGGAGAAUAAGGGUUCGAUUCCGGAGAGAAAGCCUGAGAAACGGCUACCACAUCCAAGGAAGGCUCCAUUAACGAGGAUCCAUUGGAGGGCAAGUCUGUGCCAGCAGCCACGGUAAUUCCAGCUCCAAUAGUGUAUAUUUAAGUUGUAGCAGUUAAAAAGCUCGUAGUUGGACCUUAGGGUGGGCCAACAGGUCUGCCUUGCGGUGUGCACUGGUCGUCCUGCUCCUUCUGACGGCGAUGCACUCCUGGCUUUAACUGGCCGGGUCGUGCCACCAACGCUGUUAUUUUGAAGAAAUUAGAGUGCUCAAAGUAGGCCUACGCUCUAGAUACAUUAGCAAGGGAUAACAUCAUGGGAUUCCGGUCCUAUUGUGUUGGCCUUCGGGAUCAAAGUAAUGAUUAACAGGGACAGUCAGGGGCAUUCGUAUUUCAUAGUCAGAGGUGAAAUUCUUAGAUUUAUGAAAGAUGCACAAUUGCGAAAACAUUUACCAAGGAUGUUUUCAUUGAUCAAGAACAAAAUUUGGGGGCUCGAAGACGAUCAGAUACAGUCAUAGUCUCAACCAUAAACGAUGUUGCUUUUAGGACGCCGUUGGCGCCUUAUGAGAAAUCAAAGUUUUUGGUUUUCGAGGGGAGUAUGGUCGCAUGGCUGAAACUUAAAGGAAUGGAUGGAAGGGCACCACCAGGAGUGGAGCCUGCGACUUAAUAUGACUUAACAUGGGGAAACUUACCAGGUCUAGAUAUAGUAAGGAUUGACAGACUGAGAGCUCUUUCUUGAUUCUAUGGGUGGUGGUGCAUGGCCGUUCUUAGUUGGUGGAGCGAUUUGUAUGGUUAAUUCCAUUAAUGAAUGAGACCUCAGCCUGCUAACUAGUUAUGUAGAGUUAACCCUUCACAGCUAGCUUCUUAGAGGGACUGGCCUUCCAGGCCACGGAAGCUUUAGGCAAUAACAGGUCUGUGAUGCCCUUAGAUGUUCUGGGCCACAAGUGCGCUGCACUGAUGUAUUCAACGAGUCUACACCCUUGGCCGACAGGCUCAGAUAAUCUUUUAAAUUUCAUCAUGAUGGGGAUAGAUCAUUGCAAUUGCUCGUCUUUAACGAGGAAUUCCUAGUAAGCGCGAGUCAGCAGCUCACGUUUACUACGUCCCUGCCCUUUGAACACAUCACCCGUCGCUCCUAUCGAUUGAAUGGUCCGGUGAAGCGUUUGGAUCGCGGUGACGUAGGCAGUUCGCCACCGGCGACGUCGCGAGAAGUCCACUGAACAUUAUCAUUUAGAGGAAGGAGAAGUCGUAACAAGGUUUCCGUAGGUGAACCUGCGGAAG